Molecule: small RNA, 664 nt
Filed under: Pan troglodytes (chimpanzee)
Lineage: Eukaryota; Metazoa; Chordata; Mammalia; Primates; Hominidae
Description: processed transcript
Source: RNAcentral
GUGAUCCACCCGCCUCCCCCCCCCAGACCUGGUUCGAGUUCACCCCUCACCACGCUGGCUUCCCUGCACUGGGGGCCUUUGUUUCCAUAACCCACUUCGGAAGCAAAUUCAAGAAGGGAAGACUGGUCAGAACUCACCCUGAGAGAGACCUGACUUUCCUGAGAGGCUCACUCAGUAACUUUAUGGAUUUUGUGAAGAAAACAGGCAUUUGCGCUUCAAAGUGGGAAUGGGGGACCACUCACAACUUCCUGUACAAACACAUCCCCGGAAGCAGCUGAUCCUCUUUCUUCCUGGGCACCACAGGUGGCAUCCGGGACAAGAUAAUGAGCAGCCGGAAGCACCUCCACCUGGUGGAUGCUGGUUUAGCCAUCAACACUCCCUUCCCACUCGUGCUGCCCCCGACGCGGGAGGUUCACCUCAUCCUCUCCUUCGACUUCAGUGCCGGAGAUCCUUUCGAGCACCCGCAGUCGGCCACAUCCAACGAACUUCUGAUCCAAAGCCAUCCCAGACCUUCCCGGGCCCCUCUUCCUGGCAGAUGACUCUCCCCGCUUCUGCGUCCUGCCUGCCCAUUCAUACCAGUUUGAACUGCAACAGCCUAGCUCCUCACCUGUGCACCUCCUUCCCCAGGUGUGCACGUCUCCAGCCCCGAGCGCGUGUCUUCCUG